This 795-nucleotide ribosomal RNA is filed under the name uncultured marine thaumarchaeote. RNAcentral's name for it is "bacterial SSU rRNA". It matches the Rfam family "Archaeal small subunit ribosomal RNA", at positions 83 to 879 of the family's 1478-position model. The record is from RNAcentral. Lineage: Archaea; Thermoproteati; Nitrososphaerota.
CGGCUGCUCAGUAACACGUAGUCAACCUAACCUAUGGACGGGAAUAACCUCGGGAAACUGAGAAUAAUGCCCGAUAGAACACUAUACCUGGAAUGGUUUGUGUUCCAAAUGAUUUAUCGCCGUAGGAUGGGACUGCGGCCUAUCAGUUUGUUGGUGAGGUAAUGGCCCACCAAGACUAUUACAGGUACGGGCUCUGAGAGGAGUAGCCCGGAGAUGGGUACUGAGACACGGACCCAGGCCCUAUGGGGCGCAGCAGGCGAGAAAACUUUGCAAUGUGCGAAAGCACGACAAGGUUAAUCCGAGUGGUUUCUGCUGAAGGAACCUUUUGUUAGUCCUAGAAACACUAACGAAUAAGGGGUGGGCAAGUUCUGGUGUCAGCCGCCGCGGUAAAACCAGCACCUCAAGUGGUCAGGAUGAUUAUUGGGCCUAAAGCAUCCGUAGCCGGCUCUGUAAGUUUUCGGUUAAAUCUGUACGCUCAACGUACAGGCCGCCGGGAAUACUGCAGAGCUAGGGAGUGGGAGAGGUAGACGGUACUCGGGAGGAAGUGGUAAAAUGCUUUGAUCUCUCGAUGACCACCUGUGGCGAAGGCGGUCUACCAGAACACGUCCGACGGUGAGGGAUGAAAGCUGGGGGAGCAAACCGGAUUAGAUACCCGGGUAGUCCCAGCUGUAAACUAUGCAAACUCAGUGAUGCAUUGGCUUGUGGCCAAUGCAGUAUUGCAGGGAAGCCGUUAAGUUUGCCGCCUGGGAAGUACGUACGCAAGUAUGAAACUUAAAGGAAUUGGCGGGGGAGCAG